This 253-nucleotide long non-coding RNA is filed under the name Erythranthe guttata (spotted monkey flower). Its description in RNAcentral is "long non-coding RNA (EGUT_LNC001642)". Lineage: Eukaryota; Viridiplantae; Streptophyta; Magnoliopsida; Lamiales; Phrymaceae. The record is from RNAcentral.
UAUGUCCAGCACAUAUGCAACAGUUGAGUAUCAUUGUACACAAUUAUUUGGCAAUCGGGCAAAUGAAAGCUCCAAUUGGAUCUUUAUAGUAGUGAAUAUCAAAUCCAAAUAACCUCCAAGUGGUCUUGCAAAUCGGUAGGUACCUGCAUCAAUAACAUUUUUAAAAAUGUGUACUCGAUGUUUUAAUUCAAGUACUCUUAAAACAAACUAUAUAGUAUAUAUAAUAUUUGAUAAUAAUAUAUAAGAGAGCCCC